AGUGAACGCUGGCGGCGUGCCUAAUACAUGCAAGUCGAACGAUGAAGCUCUAGCUUGCUAGAGUGGAUUAGUGGCGCACGGGUGAGUAAUGCAUAGAUAACAUGCCCUUUAGUCUAGGAUAGCCACUGGAAACGGUGAUUAAUACUGGAUACUCCUUACGAGGGAAAGUUUUUCGCUAAAGGAUUGGUCUAUGUCCUAUCAGCUUGUUGGUGAGGUAAUGGCUUACCAAGGCUAUGACGGGUAUCCGGCCUGAGAGGGUGAACGGACACACUGGAACUGAGACACGGUCCAGACUCCUACGGGAGGCAGCAGUAGGGAAUAUUGCUCAAUGGGCGAAAGCCUGAAGCAGCAACGCCGCGUGGAGGAUGAAGGUUUUCGGAUUGUAAACUCCUUUUGUUAGAGAAGAUUAUGACGGUAUCUAACGAAUAAGCACCGGCUAACUCCGUGCCAGCAGCCGCGGUAAUACGGAGGGUGCAAGCGUUACU
RNAcentral lists this ribosomal RNA (485 nucleotides) under uncultured bacterium. RNAcentral describes it as "bacterial SSU rRNA". It matches the Rfam family "Bacterial small subunit ribosomal RNA", at positions 28 to 545 of the family's 1533-position model. The record is from RNAcentral.